Molecule: ribosomal RNA, 253 nt
Filed under: uncultured bacterium
Lineage: Bacteria
Description: partial 16S ribosomal RNA
Rfam family: Bacterial small subunit ribosomal RNA
Source: RNAcentral
GACGUAGGGCGCGAGCGUUGUCCGGAUUUAUUGGGCGUAAAGAGCUCGUAGGCGGCUUGUCGCGUCGUCCGUGAAAACUCACAGCUCAACUGUGAGCUUGCGGUCGAUACGGGCAGGCUAGAGUUCGGUAGGGGAGACUGGAAUUCCUGGUGUAGCGGUGAAAUGCGCAGAUAUCGGGAAGAACACCCGUGGCGAAGGCGGCUCUCUGGGACGGUACUGACGCUGAGGAGCGAAAGCGUGGGGAGCGAACAGG